Long non-coding RNA from Cygnus olor (mute swan), 2161 nucleotides. RefSeq lists it as uncharacterized. The record is from RefSeq and is a predicted model, not a curated record. NCBI's taxonomy places the organism in Eukaryota, Metazoa, Chordata, Aves, Anseriformes, Anatidae. The transcript has 3 exons.
CUGGAGGAACUACAGGCAAAUAUACAACCACAGCCUUUAAGGUAGGCCUCUAAACAUAGGUCAGGGCCCUGAUGGUACUAAUAGGCCUUAACUAAUAGGCCUCACCUGGGCCCUCUACUAAUAGCCCCUGCUCAACAAUCCUAUUUAAACUCAAGCUGGGGUCUUCAGGCCUGUUUUGAGCCCUGUUCUGUAACUUGAUACACCUUUAUUUUUGGCAAUGAACACUACUGAGCAAGGCCCCAGUACCCAGGCUGAUUUUCUGGCCCAAUCCUGGAUGUGCCUUGCCAGUGUGGGCCUGACAGGCCAUUUUUGGAUCUGACCCAUGGAUUGUCUUCAUGGUUGUCUUUGAACCUGCCUCAUCACCCUGAAUGUCUCUAGAUGUCUCUAGUUAUCUAGGGUCUUGGCUGAGCUUGGUUGCUUUCCAGGCUGGCUUGGCUUGGAUGUGUGCGAUGGGCUUCUGGCUGGUAAGGCCCUUAUGCUGCGAGUCCUUGCUGCUCCUUGACAAUGUGCUUGGUGCCUUGAAUGUAGAUCUCUUUGAAAUUCCUACAUUUGCUGUUUUAACUGUGGAACUGUCCCCUCUUCAAAGCAGCUGUUAUAGCAAAGAAACUCCAGUGUCCUCUGCUGUUCAAUUCAACCAGACCAAGUGUCAACAAGGAAGCAGCUAAUCAAAGGCUGUUAGCAUGAUGAAGAGAUGAAGGCCAACAUAAUACUACUGAAGGUUGCCUAAAAGGGACUGGAAACCACCAGGGGGAGAGGAAAGAAGACAGAGUGAAUGCUGUUACUUAGGUAAUAAGCUUUAGCUUCACGGCAAACAAAAACCGAAGAGGAGAGGAUGUUGCUCACCUGUAUCUGGAUCUGAAAGAGCCCAAGAACAUGAAAGUCAAAAUAAUCAGCAAGUGUUCACCAUUUAUUUUCCUUUCCUCCAUGCCACUGAGCAUUACUUGGCUUUCCUGUCUCUUGAUGUCCUGUUGCCUUAGUGUCAGAGAGCAGAGAUCUUGAGCAAGCCAUGCAAUUUCCUGCUCCACUUCAGGGCCUGCUAGGGAAGGCAAGGGGUUUCCAGCUGCCUUGGACAAGCAGGGGUUGCCGAUCCUACGGGCUAGUGGCCAGUACAUUUGCUUUGUUCAUUGUAGCCUUCGUUGGGAUGUGAAGAGUGCCAGCCACGGAUUUCAUUAAUUCCACCAUCAGUAGGUCUGAAUUCAUUGCCACUAAUACAAUGCCUUUUUCUAUAUACUGUGCCAGGGGUAUUUUUUUGACACCAUGUGUGACCUCCUGUUAUUUCUCAACAAAUGUUGGCAGGCGCAACACAGCCGGCAGAGCAAAACAGCACAGUGUGUCACAAACUGCUGAGUGCAUCCAUGCUGAAAUGAACAGCCAAUUCCAAAGUGGGCUGAAAAUGAAAUCAGGGAGAAAAGAAUACAUACUAAUAUUGCUCCCUUCUCCUCCAGCUUUGCUUCCUUUUGCACAUUACCUCCGUUGAACUGGACUCAGGCAACAACUAGAACAAGACAGUAUUUUUUUUUUUAUUUUCUAGCCUUCUAAAAAUUGCCCAUACUACUGUAGCUGCAGUUUCAAAGCUAAUCCAAAGCAAUUUACCAAUCAGUUCCUUCCUCUGAGCUGAUGUUCAUCCUGCUUUUUACCUUUCUACAGGAAGUUUUGACCUGGUCAAAUCACUUACUACAAAUAACUCCUGUGGUUAAUGGUGGUCUUAAUCACUGUAAACGCACUUUUCCCUCUCUCCUUUUUUUUUCUGGGGUGUAGUUUCUCCUCUCCACAUUGCUGUGUACUUGCUGCUGUGGAAGAGGAGAGCAGGGAGAAGUGUUGCAGACAGCCUGAACUUGUCCAGUGACAGAAAUAGUUGUGAAAGCUUUAACAGUGCCGAUGCAGGACAGGGCUGUGUAAUGUUGCAGAGCAUGUAUGUAGGGGAUGCUGGGUUUGCUUCUUUAUUAAUAAUCACCUGCAUUGUGUGCUAGGGAGCAGCCAUGCCUGAAACUCCCCACCACACCAACUUGGUCUCACUGCAUGCCUCUCCCCUCUGCUCAAGCCACCGAGGGGCUCAGUCACUGCUGCCAGCCCAGGGCUCUGCCUGCUCUGCCUCACACAUUCAGCCCUCGGGGAAUUCAGCUCAGGUUGGUUAACGGCGUUCAGCUCUGUCCCUCAGGGU